AGAGUUUUCGAAAUUUAGACCGAAAUUUGCAAGGUUCGAGGUCAAAUAAAACUAGCAGAAGCUAAACGUCGAUACAUGACAUCAUGACGGAGACGAUCAUGACAUCAAAAAUUCCUUCCUUCGCCGUCCGAGGAAGGAUCCCACUCAACGGUCCAGCCUGGAGGGAGCUGGGUCGGCCAAGUGGUACCAACACCCAAGCU
RNAcentral lists this long non-coding RNA (200 nucleotides) under Setaria viridis. RNAcentral describes it as "long non-coding RNA (SVIR_LNC011453)". The record is from RNAcentral. Lineage: Eukaryota; Viridiplantae; Streptophyta; Magnoliopsida; Poales; Poaceae.